UACGUAGGGGGCAAGCGUUGUCCGGAUUUAUUGGGCGUAAAGAGCGUGUAGGCGGCCGUACAGGUCAGCUGUGAAAACUCGAGGCUCAACCUCGAGACGUCGGUUGAAACCGUACGGCUAGAGUCCGGAAGAGGAGAGUGGAAUUCCCGGUGUAGCGGUGAAAUGCGCAGAUAUCGGGAAGAACACCCGUGGCGAAGGCGGCUCUCUGGGACGGUACUGACGCUGAGACGCGAAGGCCAGGGGAGCAAACGGG
This 253-nucleotide ribosomal RNA is filed under the name uncultured bacterium. RNAcentral describes it as "partial 16S ribosomal RNA". It matches the Rfam family "Bacterial small subunit ribosomal RNA", at positions 524 to 776 of the family's 1533-position model. The record is from RNAcentral.